RNAcentral lists this ribosomal RNA (491 nucleotides) under uncultured bacterium. Its description in RNAcentral is "partial 16S ribosomal RNA". It matches the Rfam family "Bacterial small subunit ribosomal RNA", at positions 29 to 507 of the family's 1533-position model. The record is from RNAcentral.
AGUGAACGCUGGCGGUAGGCCUAACACAUGCAAGUCGAACGGCAGCACAGUAAGAGCUUGCUCUUACGGGUGGCGAGUGGCGGACGGGUGAGGAAUACAUCGGAAUCUACUUUUUCGUGGGGGAUAACGUAGGGAAACUUACGCUAAUACCGCAUACGACCUACGGGUGAAAGCAGGGGAUCUUCGGACCUUGCGCGAUUGAAUGAGCCGAUGUCGGAUUAGCUAGUUGGCGGGGUAAAGCCCACCAAGGCGACGAUCCGUAGCUGGUCUGAGAGGAUGAUCAGCCACGCUGGAACUGAGACACGGUCCAGACUCCUACGGGAGGCAGCAGUGGGGAAUAUUGGACAAUGGGCGCAAGCCUGAUCCAGCCAUACCGCGUGGGUGAAGAAGGCCUUCGGGUUGUAAAGCCCUUUUGUUGGGAAAGAAAAGCAGCAGGUUAAUACCCCGCUGUUCUGACGGUACCCAAAGAAUAAGCACCGGCUAACUUCGUG